This is a non-coding RNA of Paramormyrops kingsleyae, 556 nucleotides long. NCBI's taxonomy places the organism in Eukaryota, Metazoa, Chordata, Actinopteri, Osteoglossiformes, Mormyridae. The record is from RefSeq and is a predicted model, not a curated record.
GACCGCUUCAUCUUUGAACGUGACUCAUUAGGGCUGCAACACCGGUGGGGAUGAUGAUACAUUUACGUUACUGACUUUAACUUGACGUUCAUUCCUCGUUUGAUCAGCAUUACAAAGCUUCUUGGGGCAGCCUCCUACUGAUAAAUAAUACAUGUGGCAGUGCAAAGAAUGCAGUUUGGAACUAGCUAGCAGUUGCUCUCUCAUAAAGGUGUCCUUGAACACCUUGAAACUCCAAAAAUAGACCAGCUAUCAACUGGUGUCCGUGAAUACAGAACUGUAAGAGACGGGAGCAUUACGGUGGAUUUGAGCUAACUGCCUCACCCACUAGAGAGGUUGCCCUGAUUGAGGUUGCUGAAUUGGAAGACUCAUAUCCCCUUGUGGAGUACACAAUUGGGGGUUUGCGCAUGGUAAUGUUGAAAAGAUUCAUCAUCGUUAAAGAUUAAAAGUGUUCCAUAAUGGCGAGUCAAACUGUUCUGCGGAUAAUCUUUGGUGAUGAGUCUGAUUCAAGAAAAUUGACUCUGGCUUCUGGAAUUCCAGCAACAGUGGAAGAACUGGA